Molecule: ribosomal RNA, 1372 nt
Filed under: uncultured bacterium
Lineage: Bacteria
Description: bacterial SSU rRNA
Rfam family: Bacterial small subunit ribosomal RNA
Source: RNAcentral
GAUGAACGCUGGCGGCGUGCCUAAUACAUGCAAGUCGAGCGAACGGACGAGAAGCUUGCUUCUCUGAUGUUAGCGGCGGACGGGUGAGUAACACGUGGAUAACCUACCUAUAAGACUGGGAUAACUUCGGGAAACCGGAGCUAAUACCGGAUAAUAUUUUGAACCGCAUGGUUCAAAAGUGAAAGACGGUCUUGCUGUCACUUAUAGAUGGAUCCGCGCUGCAUUAGCUAGUUGGUAAGGUAACGGCUUACCAAGGCAACGAUGCAUAGCCGACCUGAGAGGGUGAUCGGCCACACUGGAACUGAGACACGGUCCAGACUCCUACGGGAGGCAGCAGUAGGGAAUCUUCCGCAAUGGGCGAAAGCCUGACGGAGCAACGCCGCGUGAGUGAUGAAGGUCUUCGGAUCGUAAAACUCUGUUAUUAGGGAAGAACAUAUGUGUAAGUAACUGUGCACAUCUUGACGGUACCUAAUCAGAAAGCCACGGCUAACUACGUGCCAGCAGCCGCGGUAAUACGUAGGUGGCAAGCGUUAUCCGGAAUUAUUGGGCGUAAAGCGCGCGUAGGCGGUUUUUUAAGUCUGAUGUGAAAGCCCACGGCUCAACCGUGGAGGGUCAUUGGAAACUGGAAAACUUGAGUGCAGAAGAGGAAAGUGGAAUUCCAUGUGUAGCGGUGAAAUGCGCAGAGAUAUGGAGGAACACCAGUGGCGAAGGCGACUUUCUGGUCUGUAACUGACGCUGAUGUGCGAAAGCGUGGGGAUCAAACAGGAUUAGAUACCCUGGUAGUCCACGCCGUAAACGAUGAGUGCUAAGUGUUAGGGGGUUUCCGCCCCUUAGUGCUGCAGCUAACGCAUUAAGCACUCCGCCUGGGGAGUACGACCGCAAGGUUGAAACUCAAAGGAAUUGACGGGGACCCGCACAAGCGGUGGAGCACGUGGUUUAAUUCGAAGCAACGCGAAGAACCUUACCAAAUCUUGACAUCCUUUGACAACUCUAGAGAUAGAGCCUUCCCCUUCGGGGGACAAAGUGACAGGUGGUGCAUGGUUGUCGUCAGCUCGUGUCGUGAGAUGUUGGGUUAAGUCCCGCAACGAGCGCAACCCUUAAGCUUAGUUGCCAUCAUUAAGUUGGGCACUCUAAGUUGACUGCCGGUGACAAACCGGAGGAAGGUGGGGAUGACGUCAAAUCAUCAUGCCCCUUAUGAUUUGGGCUACACACGUGCUACAAUGGACAAUACAAAGGGCAGCGAAACCGCGAGGUCAAGCAAAUCCCAUAAAGUUGUUCUCAGUUCGGAUUGUAGUCUGCAACUCGACUACAUGAAGCUGGAAUCGCUAGUAGUCGUAGAUCAGCAUGCUACGGUGAAUACGUUCCCGGGUCU